This 367-nucleotide ribosomal RNA is filed under the name uncultured bacterium. RNAcentral's name for it is "bacterial SSU rRNA". It matches the Rfam family "Bacterial small subunit ribosomal RNA", at positions 525 to 896 of the family's 1533-position model. The record is from RNAcentral.
ACGGAGGAUCCAAGCGUUAUCCGGAAUCAUUGGGUUUAAAGGGUCCGUAGGCGGCUUAAUAAGUCAGUGGUGAAAGCCCUACGCUUAACGUAGGAACGGCCAUUGAUACUGUUAGGCUUGAAUUAUUAGGAAGUAACUAGAAUAUGUAGUGUAGCGGUGAAAUGCUUAGAGAUUACAUGGAAUACCAAUUGCGAAGGCAGGUUACUACUAAUGGAUUGACGCUGAUGGACGAAAGCGUGGGUAGCGAACAGGAUUAGAUACCCUGGUAGUCCACGCCGUAAACGAUGGAUACUAGCUGUUGGGAGCAAUUUCAGUGGCUAAGCGAAAGUGAUAAGUAUCCCACCUGGGGAGUACGUUCGCAAGAAUG